UUUUAAAGUUUAUUAGACCACAUUCAUUCUGUGUCAGAAACCUAUGCUGUGUCAACUAUUUAAUCACAAUCCAAAUUUAGAGCUGAAUCCAGCUUGAAUGUUGUGUCCAUACUUGCCCCAACCGUUAAGGGUUCAACCUCUGCGGUCGUAUAAAGCUGCGCCCUGCGGAGCAUCUGGUUAAUGUUGUUGGAACAAGAUUAACACAACUUGUAUUCAGCAGCUGUUGUAUAAGG
Molecule: long non-coding RNA, 233 nt
Filed under: Mytilus galloprovincialis (Mediterranean mussel)
Lineage: Eukaryota; Metazoa; Mollusca; Bivalvia; Mytilida; Mytilidae
Source: RNAcentral